Non-coding RNA from Acyrthosiphon pisum (pea aphid), 85 nucleotides. The record is from Rfam. Lineage: Eukaryota; Metazoa; Arthropoda; Insecta; Hemiptera; Aphididae.
UCUGUCGAUUCGUGAGAUAUGUUUGAUAUUCUUGGUUGUUAUAUUUGAAACCGACCGAGAAUCGGACAUAUUUUACGGUCACAGA